Molecule: long non-coding RNA, 318 nt
Organism: Ornithorhynchus anatinus (platypus)
Lineage: Eukaryota; Metazoa; Chordata; Mammalia; Monotremata; Ornithorhynchidae
Exons: 3
Source: RefSeq, a predicted model, not a curated record
AGUCAGGAGCGCUUCAGGACCGUUGCCCUCCGACUGCUGAGAGUCCAAGGAAGAAGCAAGCUGACGGGGAGAUUUCCAGGGUGAAUCGGACGGGAAAUGUGGCCAACCCCACCCGGGAAUCCAACUGUAAUGCUGACUUGACAAACUAACAUUUGUAUCUGGAUCUGAAUGAUAGUUCCACGGGAGCCCAAACUUUGAAACAGAUGUCUAACGGUUUUAAAGAAUUCCAAGUCACGUCUUCAGAUCGGACAGCACACGGCCUUGAAGACCUCAAGUGGAGAAAAGCAGGAGAUGUUUCGCAUGAAGCAAUUUUCUCCU